This 424-nucleotide ribosomal RNA is filed under the name uncultured marine eukaryote. Its description in RNAcentral is "SSU rRNA". It matches the Rfam family "Eukaryotic small subunit ribosomal RNA", at positions 613 to 1043 of the family's 1831-position model. The record is from RNAcentral.
UUGCGGUUAAAAAGCUCGUAGUUGGAUUUCUGUUGAAGAGGGGCGGUCCGCACUGUGUGCGUGUAUCUGCUUCCGCUUUGGCAUCCUCUUGGGGUACGUAACUGUGCUUGAUUGCAUGGUGCGGAAUUCAAGACUUUUACUUUGAGGAAAUUAGAGUGUUCACGGCAGGCAAGCGCCUUGAAUACAUUAGCAUGGAAUAAUAAUAUAGGGCCUCGGUUCUAUUUUGUUGGUUUCUAGAACUGGGGUAAUGAUUAAUAGGGAUAAUUGGGGGCAUUUGUAUUAACGCGUCAGAGGUGGAAUUCUUGGGUUGCGUUACGACAAACUACUGCGAAAGCAUUUGCCAAGGAUGUUUUCAUUGAUCAAGAACGAAAGUAUGGGGAUCGAAGAUGAUUAGAUACCGUCGUAGUCCAUACCUAACUAUGCC